Molecule: long non-coding RNA, 1296 nt
Organism: Carassius gibelio (silver crucian carp)
Lineage: Eukaryota; Metazoa; Chordata; Actinopteri; Cypriniformes; Cyprinidae
Exons: 4
Source: RefSeq, a predicted model, not a curated record
UAUAGGUAUAGGCAACUUUUUUUGUCACGUUCUAUAACUUUUUCUGGAGACUGGCUAUUAUCUUAUUACAAACCUGCUUUGCGAUGCCUCUAAAAUGGCCGCCGUUACCCACAAUGCACCAUUCCAUGACGUCUACGCCCGAGCUCUAUUAGACAAAAAAUACUACUUUGUUAAUUCUGUGACACUGAAAAUGUACUAGUAAGGCACACGGUGUGUUUUAUACAGUCUAUGGGCAGCUGAAGAGUCUGGCUCAUUUUAAAAUAAUUUUACCGUUAACUUGUUGAGCCAACGGUCACGGUAGCGAUUUUUUUUAAAAUUAAUGUUAACGCCUUAAUGCGUUUUCAGAAGUUUCUCAGAGGGAAAAUGUAAAAGCGGAUUAUUAAAGAGAAGUCCUGACUGCUUUUUCACCGUGUUUUUCACUGUUUUACAUGCUUCCAGAAAUAAUCCGGUGAAAUAAUAUGGUGAGCUAUUGUUGCUGUUGCUUCUGAACUACAAAAUGAUUUUUAAAUUAAUUAUUAUGAUUAUUGAAUGAGACUGUACUUUAUAAAUGUAAUGUUUUAACUCUAGAUGUUUGUUUGUGUGAAUGCUGUGUGUGCAUUGAGUCCUGCGCGAGCGGAGAGUAGAGUUGCCAUGGAAACGGGGCGUCAACACAAAAACCGUUACUGGCAAACAGUAAUCUCCGUCUCUCGCUGCGGUUUACACUGUUUUAGGAGGACAGAAAGAAACUCUACAGAACAGAAGUGAAGCUCUGAGAUUUCAACAUUUCUGAAGGGAGAUACUGACUUAGAAAUACAGGUGACCUGAAGAAGCUCAUGAAAUACAUUAAUAUGCCUUUUUUCCGAAUAUAUGUCACCAAUUUUAAGAAGUCCCUGACAUCAUAACCUUGUUUCCUUCUAAUGAACCUGGAACUGCAGAGUAAAUAUUGUUGACUCUGUGUCAGAUUGCUUGUUUUGUUCCUGGACUCUUCAGUGAUGACGAUCAGAGUCUGAGUGAACCUGCUGUCAGACAGGUUGGCCUGACUGACGAUGCCAUCGUCCAUCACGAUGCUGCGCCGGCAAACAGCGUCAUCAGCUCCAGUAUCUCGCCCGUGCAUCUGUUGUCAUGCGACAGAGAAGUCACGUCCUAUAGACAGUUGUGAACGUGCUGACAGCUGGUUGCCCAGGCUAUGGAUUAAAGAUAAUACUGUUGUAAGUAGUGUUCAUUUUCUCCUACAUACCGAUCAUUUAGCUUCAUUAGACCUCAAUGUAUCACCAGGAGCCACCGGUAUUGAUUUGGUUUUGGGUUUUUUUUUUUUUU